RNAcentral lists this transfer-messenger RNA (366 nucleotides) under Lederbergia galactosidilytica. RNAcentral's name for it is "Standard tmRNA". It matches the Rfam family "transfer-messenger RNA". From Rfam's summary of the family: Bacterial tmRNA, also known as 10Sa RNA or SsrA, is named for its dual tRNA and mRNA-like properties. Its role is to liberate the mRNA from a stalled ribosome. The record is from Rfam by way of RNAcentral. Lineage: Bacteria; Bacillati; Bacillota; Bacilli; Caryophanales; Bacillaceae.
GGGGACGUUACGGAUUCGACAGGGAUAGUUUGAGCUUAGGUUGCGAGUCGAGGGGAUCGGCCUCGUCAAAACGUCAACGCCAAUAAUAACUGGCAAAGAAAACAAUAACUUCGCACUAGCUGCCUAAUUAAGGCCUAAUGCGGUUCCUCCCUCCAUCGCCCAUGUGGUAGGGUAAGGGACUCACUCUUAGUGGGAUACGCCGGAAGCUCUCCGCCUGGGGGCCAAGGAAGAGAUGAAUCAGGCUAGCACUUUGGAAGCCUGUCGAUAGGCUGAAGAAGUUGCGAAACAAUAAUAUAUCGACUACACUCGUAGACGCUUAAGUGGCGAUAUUUCUGGACGAGGGUUCGACUCCCUCCGUCUCCACCA